AGUUUAAACUCUUCUAUGGUUCAUAUUUUCCUAUUAGGAACUCUGCCUAGGUUCUAUAUAUAAUAUUUAUGUUCUAAGGCACAAAUAAAGACGAUCCCAACGCUGCAUAAAUGUGGCUCAUUUUAGGAUUUUAGUUCAGUUCCAGAGUGUAACCUCUGACAGAGCAUCUGAGGUUAAACUUCAGGGGCAGAAGGACCCCAGCAGGAAUGGCAGCCAGAGGAAAUAAUCUGCCUGUCUGAAUAACGGCAGCAGAUAUUCUGGAAAUGUCCCCUCCACUCCUUCCAGACUGAUCAUCAGCAACAAUUAGCAGCCUCUUUAAUGUCAGCAUCCCUGACGACAUCUUACCCCCACAAACUACCAACCAUUGGCUUCUAUGGAGGUGUAGGCGAAACCUUGCAGCUCCUUUCCCUCCUAAGCCUUAUGGAGCAGCACUUAACGCUUCUGCACAGCUUUACCAUGUUGGCCUAGUUACUGUGUAAUAACCCGGUGGGUUCUGUGGCCUAUGGUUGUGUCAGUAAUGUUUCAUUAUUUGAAAAGCUGGUCAACAUCAGGUUACGUCAUUACAUCCUGACAUCUGAUUAUAGGUUUCAUAAGGCCGGUCAGUCAAGUCUUCUGGAAUAUGAGAUGACCCCUGAUCGAAUAAAUGACCAAUGAGCAGCUCUGCUGUUAGCUAUAAUCUACUGACGUCAUACCCGCGCCUCAUUACAAUAGAGUAACACCUUUGUUGACUAGAGCUCAGGUUUGCUUCGCUUUUUGCUUUUGUCAACUGUUGGUUUAUUUUGUGUGCAUUCAACACAAAAACUAACAACGAGUUGAAUGGGAAGUUGAACAAGCCUAAGCUCUUAUCUAAAUGUCUGUAGAAACAUUUGCUCGUAGUGGCAUCCAUAUUGGGCUAUUUCUCCUAACUCAGGCCCAGUCAACAGGUGGCACUGCUGAGCGUCAACAGAAGCGAGCCAUGUUUUAGCGCAGCUGGAAAGGCCUGGCUUCUUCAGCGGCUCGUCUGCCUGCGUCUCCUGUCGAAAAGUCCCGACAGGAGACGCAGGCAGAGCCUUGGAGCCCGCCGCCGCCGCCCCGCCGCUGCUCCCGCCGCCUCUGCUGCCUCAGCCCCGCGCGAGGCUGGAUCACAUUACAAAAAGCCAGCGAGCGGCCGCGAGCCCCCGCCCUCCCCGGAGCAUCGCGUGAGAGCAGCAGCCGACUCUCAAACUUGAUUGUGAUUAAUGCGCGAGGGCAAGAUGUCCAUGCCAGAGCAGCGCAGACGCGGCGUUAAGAGGCUGCCAUACUAAUUGAGACCUGCCAAUUUACAUGCACCAUACAAGCAUGACCAUCUACAGUCAGAUUAACAUGAACGUACAUGCUCAGCAGUGAGGACAGAUCAGCUUUUGCAGCAGAUCACAGCAUCUGCCUCACUGGAUGUCCUGAACAAAGCUCAAAGCAGACAAGAAACCCAAACAGGACUUCAGCCAGCCAUCAGGUGAAAAGGAGGACCCCAAAUGCAGACCAGUAGCUAUCCCCUAUGUUGCAGGAUUUUCAGAGAAUCGUUUAUUUCCUAAACAUGACCUUCCAGUGGCUUUCAAACCCCAAAACACAUUGGAGCAAAGACUGGUGGGUCUCUUCCUGUCAAUGUAAGGCUCAGAUUUGUGUAGACCUUGAAUUAACUUUCCUUUUGUUUUUAUUUCUGCAUGAUGAAUCAAAAGGCUACUUUGUUUCCUGCAAAAAUCUCCCUAACUCCUCUUUCUUUAAUAAAAUGUAUUUUUUAUGGCUCACCAGUGCUUUCAACUUGAGUUUAAAGUUGAGACACCUCUGAUCUAAACAUUCCAGUGUAGCUCUGAGGGCAUGUUUUGUUUUUUUACCUGGAAGGUGAACC
This is a long non-coding RNA of Fundulus heteroclitus (mummichog), 1864 nucleotides long. RefSeq lists it as uncharacterized. NCBI's taxonomy places the organism in Eukaryota, Metazoa, Chordata, Actinopteri, Cyprinodontiformes, Fundulidae. The transcript has 3 exons. The record is from RefSeq and is a predicted model, not a curated record.